Molecule: non-coding RNA, 240 nt
Organism: Vicia faba (fava bean)
Lineage: Eukaryota; Viridiplantae; Streptophyta; Magnoliopsida; Fabales; Fabaceae
Source: the annotation of a GenBank genome assembly
AUGUUGGUGAUCAAGAAGCGGUAUGUCGUCAGUGGUGGUGAUGGUCUGGGUGUGUCUCGGGAUGAGUCGAUUUGGUUCGCAUAUCACUUCGGAAGUUGGAUUAACACUAACAUUGAAGAUGUUCCAAUAGAUGUCAAAGACAAUCUGGAGAACGUGUUGGAGAAUGACCCUCCAACACAUAAUGAUGUUGAGCCAAAUGUCUCAAACAUAAAUGAAAAAUUUGAAGCUGCUCAUGUCUAG